GAUGAAGAACGCAGCGAAUUGCGAUAAGUAAUGUGAAUUGCAGAAUUCAGUGAAUCAUCGAAUCUUUGAACGCACCUUGCACCCUUUGGUAUUCCGAAGGGUAUGCCCGUUUGAGUGUCAUUGUAAUCUCACAUCCACGAUUUUUGUUAAUCUUGGACGGUGGACUUGGAGGUUGCUGCUGCAAAGUGGCUCUUCUUAAAUGCAUUAGUGGUGCUUGGUCUUGCAUUACAAAACUCAGUGUAAUAAGAUUCGCUGAGUUGGCUUGACUUUGAGCAAUCGCUUCAAACCGUCUCUAACGAGAGACUGUCGCACUUUGCGGCAUUUGACAACUUGACCUCAAAUCGGGUAGGAUUACCCGCUGAACUUAAGCAUAUCAAUAAGCGGAGGA
RNAcentral lists this unclassified non-coding RNA (388 nucleotides) under soil metagenome. RNAcentral's name for it is "partial contains 5.8S ribosomal RNA, internal transcribed spacer 2, and large subunit ribosomal RNA". The stretch from base 1 to 120 matches the Rfam family "5.8S ribosomal RNA", at positions 35 to 154 of the family's 154-position model. The record is from RNAcentral.